UACGUAGGGUGCGAGCGUUAAUCGGAAUUACUGGGCGUAAAGCGUGCGCAGGCGGUUCGUUGUGUCGGCGGUGAAAGCCCCGGGCUCAACCUGGGAAUGGCCGUUGAAACUGGCGAACUGGAGUGUGGCAGAGGGGGGUGGAAUUCCGCGUGUAGCAGUGAAAUGCGUAGAUAUCGUUUGGAACGCCAAUGGUGAAAACAGGUUGCUGGGAGUGUGCUGACGCUGAGACACGAAAGCCAGGGGAGCAAACGGG
RNAcentral lists this ribosomal RNA (253 nucleotides) under uncultured bacterium. RNAcentral describes it as "partial 16S ribosomal RNA". It matches the Rfam family "Bacterial small subunit ribosomal RNA", at positions 524 to 776 of the family's 1533-position model. The record is from RNAcentral.